Molecule: unclassified non-coding RNA, 917 nt
Filed under: Hevea brasiliensis (rubber tree)
Lineage: Eukaryota; Viridiplantae; Streptophyta; Magnoliopsida; Malpighiales; Euphorbiaceae
Source: RNAcentral
UGUUGUAGGCAUAGUUCUCCAAAGUGUUCUUGGCUUCGACCUUCUUCUUGAGCUCCUCAUCCUCAGACUUGUAUUUCUCUGCCUCCUGCACCAUCUUCUCGAUUUCCUCCUUGCUCAGCCUGCCCUUGUCGUUAGUGAUGGUAAUUUUGUUCUUCUGCCCGGUGGUCUUGUCCUCUGCUGAGACAUUGAGGAUACCGUUCGCAUCAAUGUCGAAGCAGACCGUAAUCUGCGGCACACCACGGGGAGCAGGGGGGAUGCCAGAAAGCUCAAACUUGCCAAGUAAGUUGUUGUCCCUGGUCCUGGUCCUCUCACCCUCAUAAACUUGGAUCAAGACACCAGGUUGGUUAUCAGAGUAGGUGGAGAAGACCUGCUCCUUUUUGGUAGGAAUAGUCGUAUUCCUCGGAAUCAAAACUGUCAUGACUCCACCAGCCGUCUCCAGCCCAAGCGAGAGCGGUGUCACAUCCAGUAACAAAAGAUCCUGCACUUUCUCAUUGCCCUCACCACUCAAGAUAGCAGCCUGGACAGCAGCACCGUAUGCAAUAGCCUCAUCAGGGUUAAUACUCUUGCAGAGUUCCUUCCCAUUGAAGAAAUCUUGUAGUAACUGCUGCACCUUAGGAAUCCUAGUCGACCCACCGACAAGAACCACAUCAUGAACAGAGCUCUUGUCCAUCUUAGCAUCCCUCAGACACUUCUCAACAGGCUCCAUGCAUUUCCUGAAAAGAUCCAUGUUGAGCUCCUCAAAUCUAGCACGAGUAAUGGUGGUGUAGAAGUCGACGCCUUCAUAGAGAGAAUCAAUCUCGAUGGUGGUUUGUGCGGUGGAGGAAAGAGUCCUCUUUGCCCGCUCACAUGAAGUCCUCAACCUCCUGAGCGACCUAGGGUUUCCACUGAUAUCUUUCUUGUGCUUCCUCUUGAAUUCU